GUGUCAGCCGCCGCGGUAAUACGAAGGACCCGAGCGUUAUCCGGAUUUAUUGGGUUUAAAGGGUGCGUAGGCGGAUUUACAAGUCAGUGGUGAAAUCUCCCAGCUUAACUGGGAAACUGCCAUUGAAACUGUUUAUCUUGAGUACAUUUGAGGCGGGCGGAAUGUGUCAUGUAGAGGUGAAAUUCUUAGAUAUGACACAGAACACCAAUUGCGAAGGCAGCUCGCUAAACUGUAACUGACGCUGAGGCACGAAAGCGUGGGGAUCAAACAGGAUUAGAUACCCUGGUAGUCC
RNAcentral lists this ribosomal RNA (292 nucleotides) under uncultured bacterium. Its description in RNAcentral is "partial 16S ribosomal RNA". It matches the Rfam family "Bacterial small subunit ribosomal RNA", at positions 505 to 796 of the family's 1533-position model. The record is from RNAcentral.